Molecule: ribosomal RNA, 253 nt
Filed under: uncultured bacterium
Lineage: Bacteria
Description: partial 16S ribosomal RNA
Rfam family: Bacterial small subunit ribosomal RNA
Source: RNAcentral
UACGUGGGGGGCAAGCGUUGUCCGGAAUUAUUGGGCGUAAAGGGCGCGUAGGCGGCCAACUAAGUCCGACGUGAAAUCCCCAGGCUUAACCUGGGAACUGCGUCGGAUACUGGAUGGCUUGAAUCCGGGAGAGGGAUGCGGAAUUCCAGGUGUAGCGGUGAAAUGCGUAGAUAUCUGGAGGAACACCGGUGGCGAAGGCGGCAUCCUGGACCGGCAUUGACGCUGAGGAGCGAAAGCCAGGGGAGCAAACGGG